Molecule: ribosomal RNA, 305 nt
Filed under: uncultured bacterium
Lineage: Bacteria
Description: bacterial SSU rRNA
Rfam family: Bacterial small subunit ribosomal RNA
Source: RNAcentral
GGCCUACGGGACGCAGCAGCCGCGGUAAUACGGAGGGUGCAAGCGUUACUCGGAAUCACUGGGCGUAAAGAGCGCGUAGGCGGGAUAGCAAGUCAGAUGUGAAAUCCUAUGGCUUAACCAUAGAACUGCAUUUGAAACUGUUAUUCUAGAGUAUGGGAGAGGUAGGUGGAAUUGUUGGUGUAGGGGUAAAAUCCGUAGAGAUCAAGAGGAAUACUCAUUGCGAAGGCGAACUGCUAGAACAUAACUGACGCUGAUGCGCGAAAGCGUGGGGAGCAAACAGGAUUAGAUACCCCGGUAGUCCCAGA